RNAcentral lists this transfer RNA (86 nucleotides) under Algimonas porphyrae. Its description in RNAcentral is "tRNA-Leu". It matches the Rfam family "tRNA". From Rfam's summary of the family: Transfer RNA (tRNA) molecules are approximately 80 nucleotides in length. Their secondary structure includes four short double-helical elements and three loops (D, anti-codon, and T loops). Lineage: Bacteria; Pseudomonadati; Pseudomonadota; Alphaproteobacteria; Maricaulales; Robiginitomaculaceae. The record is from RNAcentral.
GCGGGUGUGGUGGAAUUGGUAGACACGCCAGAUUUAGGUUCUGGUGCUCAUUGAGCGUGGAGGUUCAAGUCCUCUCACCCGCACCA